AGUCUCCUACGGGGCGCAGCAGUGGGGAAUAUUGCACAAUGGGGGAAACCCUGAUGCAGCGACGCCGCGUGAGCGAUGAAGUAUUUCGGUAUGUAAAGCUCUCUCAGCAGGGAAGAAAAUGACGGUACCUGACUAAGAAGCCCCGGCUAACUACGUGCCAGCAGCCGCGGCAAUACGUAGGGGGCAAGCGUUAUCCGGAAUUACUGGGCGUAAAGCGCUCGUAGGCGGUAUGUCAAGUCAAGGGGGAAAU
Molecule: ribosomal RNA, 250 nt
Filed under: uncultured bacterium
Lineage: Bacteria
Description: partial 16S ribosomal RNA
Rfam family: Bacterial small subunit ribosomal RNA
Source: RNAcentral